Molecule: long non-coding RNA, 575 nt
Organism: Cyprinus carpio (common carp)
Lineage: Eukaryota; Metazoa; Chordata; Actinopteri; Cypriniformes; Cyprinidae
Exons: 2
Source: RefSeq, a predicted model, not a curated record
CCUUCAAAGAUGGCUGGAAUUACCAUACUUUGCGUACUGAAAGGCACCAAUCACCACAUCAGUUAUGGUGUGAAAAUCAGAAGGAAGGCCAGGAUUCCCUCCAGGUUGAUUUGGAGCACGGAAUCGACUGGGAGGGUCCAAGUGGUCACCAUGAGGAGGGUGUUGCAGUCCCUGAAGUUAACCUUCCAAGGCAACUGACUGACCUUGAAUUACAAAGACUACCAAAUCCCCAUGGUUCUUUCUCCAGUGUAAUAAAUACAUACAGUGAAACAGUUGACAUAUUGUCCAAUAUAAUGAAUGAUUAAAUGCCAGAAAUGUGCAGUGGGUAAACAACCCAAUGAUUAAAUGAAAUGAACAGAAAGACAAAACAUUGAAAACAUUUGAAUUUUAUUUUGUUUAUAACUGUAUAAUAAUUUUUAUUGAAACGAAUAGAUAACAACUUUGAAUCUGAAACUGCUAUCAGCCAUCAGAACUACUGGCUCAAGAUGAAAUAUCUGUAAACUCUCAAAACUGUUACAAUUUUAUUUUGUUUACUUUCAUGUAAACUUGUAACAAAUAAACACCAAAACAUGUUA